GAUGAACGCUGGCGGCGUGCCUAAUACAUGCAAGUCGAGCGAACAGACGAGGAGCUUGCUCCUCUGACGUUAGCGGCGGACGGGUGAGUAACACGUGGAUAACCUACCUAUAAGACUGGGAUAACUUCGGGAAACCGGAGCUAAUACCGGAUAAUAUAUUGAACCGCAUGGUUCAAUAGUGAAAGACGGUUUUGCUGUCACUUAUAGAUGGAUCCGCGCCGCAUUAGCUAGUUGGUAAGGUAACGGCUUACCAAGGCAACGAUGCGUAGCCGACCUGAGAGGGGGAUCGGCCCACACGGAACCGGGAACAGGUCCCAACUCCUAAGGGAGGGAGCAGUAGGGAAUCUUCCGCAAUGGGCGAAAGCCUGACGGAGCAACGCCGCGUGAGUGAUGAAGGUCUUCGGAUCGUAAAACUCUGUUAUUAGGGAAGAACAAAUGUGUAAGUAACUAUGCACGUCUUGACGGUACCUAAUCAGAAAGCCACGGCUAACUACGUG
RNAcentral lists this ribosomal RNA (497 nucleotides) under uncultured bacterium. Its description in RNAcentral is "partial 16S ribosomal RNA". It matches the Rfam family "Bacterial small subunit ribosomal RNA", at positions 28 to 507 of the family's 1533-position model. The record is from RNAcentral.